AAAGCACUAGCAUCUUUCUACACAGGAAAAGGAACUGUCUGCACUGUUAAGAGCCCCAUCUCUUUGCUGGGCUCAGCAAAUCUUGUGAGGCAGAGAGAAAAUGCCUAUGAGAUACCAUAAAUAUGGGAGGUGACUGACCAGCCAGAGAACUGCUGACCAGACUGGUGCAGAGGACAGGACCACAAAAGACAUGGUCGAGAGCAGCCUGGGAUUGAACAUUGUCAGUGCCAUCGUCUCAGGGAUUGGGAUCUAUUUACUUCUGGGCAGUUUAGGCACUACAUUUAUCUUCUUUCAUCUUUAUGCCACUGAGUCUGAUGUCUAUCCUAUGGCCUUCUCCAUCUUACUUGUCACCCUCACGAUGCCUUUCUCUCCCUAUGUGCCAGAAGUCCCAGCUGCUGCAACCCACAAAGAAGGGUUGGUGAUUCAGGGCUCAGAUGCUGUUGAGGACAAGUCCCCAGGAAGCCAUCUGGAUUUUGGCAUUCGAACCACGAGCUUCCCCAUCGCCAUGGAUGAGAAAUCAGAAGCCAAUGGAUGCCGGGCCCAGGUCCUUCUCUUAAUCCAACAAUGAUUCUACUGCUGUUCCAGACACCUAAUAACCAGCUCAACUGGAUCCCUUUUCUCAUAGAACUUUCCUGAACUCAGUUGUCCUGUACUUUCAACAGACAUCAUCCUGCUUAGAUUCCCUGAGCUUGACCUGCUUUUGAAACUCUUUCAUCCUCUUCUGAACCCCAGCUUUCCUCACGAUGUCUCACACGUUUUUCGCAACUGUCAUACACAGUGUCUGGCACAUAGUAGGUGCUUAAUAAAUGUUGAUAGGUUGCUUAAUUGAUUAAACUG
RNAcentral lists this long non-coding RNA (837 nucleotides) under Vombatus ursinus (common wombat). RNAcentral's name for it is "lncRNA (ENSVURG00010010159.1)". Lineage: Eukaryota; Metazoa; Chordata; Mammalia; Diprotodontia; Vombatidae. The record is from RNAcentral.